UCAUCGUUACAAAAGGACCAACUCAUACAUUUGUCUUCAAAGCAAAAACCAUUAUUCAUCCAAACCAAUAUUAACAACAAAAUCAAACUCAAGGAUUUAAUUUUUCAUGUAGAGGAUUCGGUCAUGGGUGGCCCGAUUCUUCUCCUGAAUCAAACCUCCACUUUAAAAGGAUCAAACGCUGGAUUUAUAACGGAAUGUCCCCCGUCCACGGCAAUAUUCUGUCCGCUCACAUACUUAGAAUCAUCGCUAGCCAAGAACAGUACUGCAUUGGCAAUAUCUUCUAUCUUCAGGGUAACUCCCUUCAGAUUCGCAAAAGAAUUCAUAAUUGCCUCCAAGCCCUCAUUAGUCAAUUUCAAAUAAUCUGUCGCCAGCGGCGUCGCAAGUGCUGCUGGUGAUACACAAUUCACCCGUAUCCCGUACCGCCCCAGCUCAG
RNAcentral lists this unclassified non-coding RNA (433 nucleotides) under Hevea brasiliensis (rubber tree). The record is from RNAcentral. Lineage: Eukaryota; Viridiplantae; Streptophyta; Magnoliopsida; Malpighiales; Euphorbiaceae.